Calliphora vicina (urban bluebottle blowfly) is the source of this 477-nucleotide long non-coding RNA. RefSeq lists it as uncharacterized. The record is from RefSeq and is a predicted model, not a curated record. Lineage: Eukaryota; Metazoa; Arthropoda; Insecta; Diptera; Calliphoridae. The transcript is spliced from 4 exons.
AUAUAAAAUCCAAGUAAAAGUUAAACAACUCAACAGUAUUCUAAUAAAUUCUAAAGCGGAAAACAGUUAUUUCAUCUUAAAGAAAAACAUGAAACUAUUUCAAUUAAUAUUUUUAAUUGGUUGCAUUGUAGCCAGUGUAAUGGCUGCUCCUGGAUAUAAUUUAAUCAAUGGAGUCACAAAUACCGGUGUUAUGGAUGUUCCUGGAUGUAAUAUAAUCAAUGGAUUCCAAAGCACCGGUACUCAUAAUUUUGCCAAUGGAUGCAAAAACAACAGUGGAAAGGCUAAGGGAAAUGUAAGCUUAAUGUUUGCCCUUUUAAUGAACAUAUUUAUUUAUUUCCAAAUAAUAGUACAAUGAAUAUUUUUUAGAAUAAAAAAAAGGGUUGAGUCAAAAACUGGCGCAAAUCAUAAAAAUAAUAAUAAAUAAAAUUUUGAAUAUAAAUCAAAUGUAAUCUGAAUUUAAUAAAGUUAAUAAAAAUA